CGCGGCCUAUCAGCUUGUUGGUGAGGUAAUGGCUCACCAAGGCGACGACGGGUAGCCGGCCUGAGAGGACGACCGGCCACACUGGGACUGAGACACGGCCCAGACUCCUACGGGAGGCAGCAGUGGGGAAUAUUGGGCAAUGGAGGAAACUCUGACCCAGCGACGCCGCGUGCGGGAUGAAGGCCUUCGGGUUGUAAACCGCUUUCAGCAGGGAAGAAGCGAAAGUGACGGUACCUGCAGAAGAAGCACCGGCUAACUAUGUGCCAGCAGCCGCGGUAAUACAUAGGGUGCAAGCGUUGUCCGGAAUUAUUGGGCGUAAAGAGCUCGUAGGUGGUUCGUAACGUCGGGUGUGAAAAUCUGGGGCUCAACCCCAGACCUGCAUUCGAUACGGGCGAACUAGAGUGUGGUAGGGGAGACUGGAAUUCCUGGUGUAGCGGUGGAAUGCGCAGAUAUCAGGAGGAACACCAAUGGCGAAGGCAGGUCUCUGGGCCAUUACUGACACUGAGGAGCGAAAGCGUGGGGAGCGAACAGGAUUAGAUACCCUGGUAGUCCACGCCGUAAACGGUGGGCACUAGUUGUGGGAACCUUCCACGGUUUCUGCGACGCAGCUAACGCAUUAAGUGCCCCGCCUGGGGAGUACGG
This 642-nucleotide ribosomal RNA is filed under the name uncultured bacterium. RNAcentral's name for it is "bacterial SSU rRNA". It matches the Rfam family "Bacterial small subunit ribosomal RNA", at positions 232 to 885 of the family's 1533-position model. The record is from RNAcentral.